AUAGAUAAAAUUUUAUGAUUUUAUGAAUUUAUUUAUAAUUUAUUUUACAUGCAAAUUUUAGUAUGAAUUUUUAAUUAUUUUAAUAAUAAUUUUUAUUUUAGUAGUAAAUAAUAUUAAAAAUUUAAGAAAUUAAGAUUUAGUAAUAUUAAAAUUAAUAACAAAUUUUGUGCCAGCAGUUGCGGUUAUACAAAAAUUAAGAUAAAUUUUUUUAGUUAAAUAAAAAUUAAUAAUAAAUUAAAUUAAAUAUUAAAUUUUUAAGUGAAAUUUUAAUUUAAUUAAAAUUUAUUUUUUAUUAUUGAAUUAAUAAAUUUUAAUUAUAAACUAGGAUUAGAUACCCUAUUAUUAAAAAUUUAAUUAAAAAUGCUAAAAUAUUAAAUUUUAAUCAUUGAAACUUAAGUAAUUUGGCGGUAUUUUAGUUCAUUUAGAGGAAUCUGUUUAAUAAUUGAUAAUCCACGAGUAAAUUUACUUAAUUUAGAAUUUUAUAUAUCGUUGUUAAAAAAAUAUUUUCAAAUGAAAAUAAUAUUUAAAAAUUAAAAUAAAAAUUUAAUUCAGAUCAAGAUAUAGAUUAUAAUUAAGAAUAUAAUGGAUUACAAUAAAUUUAUUUAAAUGAAUUUUAUUUUGUAAUAAAUAAAUGAAGGUGGAUUUAAAUGUAAUUUUAUUUAUUUUAUUAUAAUGAUUAAAAAUUAGAAUAUGUACAUAUUGCCCGUCGCUUUCAUUUAAAAAUUGGAAUAAGUCGUAACAAAGUAGAGGUACUGGAAAGUGUUUCUAGAAAGAA
This 775-nucleotide ribosomal RNA is filed under the name Pseudocoladenia festa. RNAcentral describes it as "12S ribosomal RNA". The record is from RNAcentral. Lineage: Eukaryota; Metazoa; Arthropoda; Insecta; Lepidoptera; Hesperiidae.